RNAcentral lists this ribosomal RNA (1174 nucleotides) under Triticum aestivum (bread wheat). Its description in RNAcentral is "partial small subunit ribosomal RNA". Lineage: Eukaryota; Viridiplantae; Streptophyta; Magnoliopsida; Poales; Poaceae. The record is from RNAcentral.
CGGGCUAACCAAGUCUUGGGAUCGGGGGUGGGGGUGAGCACGGGGAGAGGAAGCGAGGACAGGAAGAGUGCGAGCCAGCGCCGGCACCGAUCCCAAAGCCCGACCCGUCCCGUCGCAGAAGCGGCGGCCGCGCCGAGGCCACCUGAGGCUGCCGAGGAGAGGUAGAGGAGGGAGCGGGGGUGCACGCCAAGGCGAAGGGCGACCGGUGCUCCCCGUCGGCCCCGCGUAGCCCGACCCGGAGGAGACAAAGGCCAGACAAUACCUGCUCCUUGGUAAUCCUUCCUUUCCACACAUAGUUGGUUCUUCGCCUCGAUCCACACGGACCAGACGCCGCUGCUGGAAACCCGGUUGUUGUGUACCUGUAAAGUCUCUAUUCGAUAACGUAGUCUUGAAACGAACCGCUUGUAGGCCCUGUGAGCCCAUGUAUUCUAGGUCCUCCCAACCACGCCGUUCAUACUGUGGUUUACAAAGAUUCCAAUGGGUACCGUCUAAGACACGUCUCUCGUGUGUUCCUAGCUUCGUCGUUUUGGUCCCGCUUUGUCUCGUUUGUGUUUUCUUCUUUGCAUACGAUGUAUGUCAGCUACACUAGGAAGGUUGUGGCGGCAGCCCCCAGGAAGACGGAGUCGGUCCUGGAGAAGACGGGACGUGGCGACGACACUUGGAUAGGUACGCCUGUCGGUGGCGGUACGAUGUCGACAGCGUUGGACGUCGUCCAAGUUUUAAGUUGGACAAAACGAUAUUUACCGGAGGACGUGGCAACAUAUGUUUCGACUUCACCCAUGGUGUCGGUACUUUCUUUGAGAUGAACGUUUCCACCUAACCUCUCCUUCAAUAGCUACGAGUUCGGUAUACCACUUCACCUCGUUCUUCUCACUUAGUCCUUUUGCCUCUUGUACAGAUAAAACAUAUCGAAUAGGAAUCCAACAUAAGCAACCAACAUCGCUUAACUGGCUAAAGAGAAUGACGACAGUUACGGCCGCUACUUAGUAACUCCUUACAACUUGACACAUCUCAACUUCAAUUCCAGAUGGUAAUUAUAUCCUUCUUUCCACACACACACACACACACACACACACAGUAAUUUAUCAACAGAUUACUUGUUUGCUCUGAUGGUUACUAAAAAAUUUUGUUAUAUAGUGGUAAUUAAUCUUAGAGAGUAUGAACCAAUUAAACA